UGUUAAAAUUUUUUAUAUAUUUGUAUUAUUAAAAAUUGAUAGAAUAAUCAAACAACAACAUGUGACAUGCCACGUGUCUCUUUUGUUGACAUAUAGAGACCGAGUUUUAACAAUAGAAAUGCAUAAAAUUUUUAAUU
Non-coding RNA from Gossypium hirsutum (cotton), 137 nucleotides. The record is from Rfam. Lineage: Eukaryota; Viridiplantae; Streptophyta; Magnoliopsida; Malvales; Malvaceae.